UCCGAAGGGUGCAAGCGUUACUCGGAAUUACUGGGCGUAAAGCGUGCGUAGGCGGUUGUUUAAGUCUGCUGUGAAAGCCCUGGGCUCAACCUGGGAAUUGCAGUGGAUACUGGGCGACUAGAGUGUGGUAGAGGAUAGUGGAAUUUCCGGUGUAGCAGUGAAAUGCGUAGAGAUCGGAAGGAACAUCAGUUGCGAAGGCGGCUCUCUGGACCAGCACUGACACUGAGGCACGAAAGCGUGGGGAGCAAACAGG
Molecule: ribosomal RNA, 253 nt
Filed under: uncultured bacterium
Lineage: Bacteria
Description: partial 16S ribosomal RNA
Rfam family: Bacterial small subunit ribosomal RNA
Source: RNAcentral